GUUUCGGUGGUAUGGUGGUUAGCAUAGCUGCCUUCCAAGCAGUUGACCCGGGUUCGCUUCCCGGCCGACG
Molecule: transfer RNA, 70 nt
Filed under: Ixodes scapularis (black-legged tick)
Lineage: Eukaryota; Metazoa; Arthropoda; Arachnida; Ixodida; Ixodidae
Rfam family: tRNA
About the family: Transfer RNA (tRNA) molecules are approximately 80 nucleotides in length. Their secondary structure includes four short double-helical elements and three loops (D, anti-codon, and T loops).
Source: Rfam by way of RNAcentral